GAGAGAGUAAACAGUGCGUGAAACCGCUCAGAGGUAAACGGGUGGAGUUGAACUGUAAGCUCCGGGAAUUCAGCUGGUGAGUGUGUCAUGGGCUUGGUCAUUUUCGGCCGGCCUCUAGAGUCCGCUUAGCUGCGGGUCCUUGUUCUUUCGGGAUCAGGGAUGUGCGUUGCGCUUGUCAAGUGCUGUGCGCUCUGGAGGUUGCCGGGCUGGCUCGCCGGUGCACUUUCUCGGAGUGGUCACCACGACCGGCGUUGUUGUCUUGCUGCUGUAGUCAAACUGGCUGGGUUUGGUCCUUGUGGCUGAACUUGGUUGGGAUGGCAGGUAGCUCAUUGGUUGGCUCGUCCAGUCUUUGGGUGUAAUCAGCUGGCUGCAGCAGUAUUGUGCAAUGCGUCGGAGACUGCGGCUUCAGAUAUUUGCUCUUGUGCCGUUGGUUGACAGUGUUGAGUUUGACUGGCGUGUUACCUGCUUCGGUGGGUCCGUCGGUAGCUUAGUGCUGUACGGUCAGCGGUCGCUUGGGUGAUAUCGUUCAUGGGCCCAUAGUCUGUGGUGUAGCAGCAAACGAUCCACCUGACCC
Molecule: ribosomal RNA, 574 nt
Filed under: Australapatemon sp. LFDC86
Lineage: Eukaryota; Metazoa; Platyhelminthes; Trematoda; Diplostomida; Strigeidae
Also listed under: 4 other names
Description: partial large subunit ribosomal RNA
Source: RNAcentral